AGAGUUUGAUCCUGGCUCAGAUUGAACGCUGGCGGCAUGCCUUACACAUGCAAGUCGAACGGCAGCACGGGAGCAAUCCUGGUGGCGAGUGGCGAACGGGUGAGUAAUAUAUCGGAACGUGCCCAGUAGUGGGGGAUAGCCCGGCGAAAGCCGGAUUAAUACCGCAUACGACCUGUGGGUGAAAGCGGGGGAUCGCAAGACCUCGCGCUAUUGGAGCGGCCGAUAUCAGAUUAGCUUGUUGGUGGGGUAAAAGCCCACCAAGGCGACGAUCUGUAGCUGGCCUGAGAGGACGACCAGCCACACUGGGACUGAGACACGGCCCAGACUCCUACGGGAGGCAGCAGUGGGGAAUUUUGGACAAUGGGCGCAAGCCUGAUCCAGCCAUGCCGCGUGUGGGAAGAAGGCCUUCGGGUU
RNAcentral lists this ribosomal RNA (414 nucleotides) under uncultured bacterium. Its description in RNAcentral is "bacterial SSU rRNA". It matches the Rfam family "Bacterial small subunit ribosomal RNA", at positions 8 to 424 of the family's 1533-position model. The record is from RNAcentral.